CAAUAGCUCUGGGCAUUUGGGUA
This 23-nucleotide non-coding RNA is filed under the name Arabidopsis thaliana (thale cress). The record is from RNAcentral. Lineage: Eukaryota; Viridiplantae; Streptophyta; Magnoliopsida; Brassicales; Brassicaceae.